RNAcentral lists this long non-coding RNA (959 nucleotides) under Vulpes vulpes (red fox). RNAcentral's name for it is "lncRNA (ENSVVUG00000018477.1)". Lineage: Eukaryota; Metazoa; Chordata; Mammalia; Carnivora; Canidae. The record is from RNAcentral.
GCCCCCGCCCCCACCGCGGGGCGCCCGAGCGCCUCUUUGGCCUGAGCCUUCCGCACCCAGACCUUCCCCUCUGCCCCUUCCCACACCCCAACCCACCCCAGGCCUCGCCUGGAAGCGGAGAAUUUCAGGAAUCUCAGAAAUCUCAGAACACAGACAGGCUUUACUGAGCACCUACUGCGCGCCGAGCUCUGCGCAAGGCCCCGCCCGCCCCCACCGCGGGGCGCCCGAGCGCCUCUUUGGCCUGAGCCUUCCGCACCCAGACCUUCCCCUCUGCCCCUUCCCACACCCCAACCCACCCCAGGCCUCGCCUGGAAGCGGAGAAUUUCAGGAAUCUCAGAAAUCUCAGAACACAGACAGGCUUUACUGAGCACCUACUGCGCGCCGAGCUCUGCGCAAGGCCCCGCGGGGAGCUGGAGGCCCUGGCGACAGCACCUAGUUGCCGAGGUCCUGACGCCAGGCCUGAAGCUGGGUGAGCCGCACAGAGGCUGCGCAACUCGUGAGUUGGGAGAAGCUACCAGGAGCUCUGAUGCUCGUUUUAAAGAUGAAGUAACCGAAGCCAAGAGACAAAAAGCACCCCAGGAGGUCCCCCAGCAGCCUGGGACCGGCCGGGUCAGCCGGGCACCAGCUCGGGUUCGUCUCGGGUGCUGUGGACGGGCCACGGGGGGCUGUACCUGCUGUCAGCCUCCCCGCGGCCCCCCCCCUUGGGGCGUGCUGUCUCUUCUCCUCUGCUUUUUAAUUGCUUGGAAACAGAGCUGACAGCAGCGGGAACAGCUCAGCCGCUGCUGGUCUCAUGACUGGAUGCUUUUGUUUGUUCACAGAAUCAUAUUUUUACACUCAAGCUUCUGCUAAUUUAUGCCACAGCCUGAGCUCUCCGUUGCUGAGGAUCCAGUUUUGGGGAGUGGGGAGUCAAUUCCUGGGUUGAUUUAGUCAUCUCGGAGCCUAUCAGAAGCCAAGCAGGG